RNAcentral lists this ribosomal RNA (274 nucleotides) under uncultured bacterium. Its description in RNAcentral is "partial 16S ribosomal RNA". It matches the Rfam family "Bacterial small subunit ribosomal RNA", at positions 523 to 796 of the family's 1533-position model. The record is from RNAcentral.
AUACAGAGGGUGCAAACGUUGUUCGGCAUUACUGGGCAUAAAGCGCACGUAGGCGGUCAGGUAAGUGUGAAGUGAAAUCCCACGGCUCACCCGUGGAACUGCUUUGCAUACUGCUUGACUAGAGGAAGGUAGGGGAGAGCAGAACUCUUGGAGGAGCGGUGAAAUGCGUAGAUAUCAAGAGGAAUACCAGUGGCGAAGGCGGCUCUCUGGUCCUUUACUGACGCUGAGGUGUGAAAGCUAGGGUAGCGAACGGGAUUAGAAACCCCAGUAGUCC